This 607-nucleotide ribosomal RNA is filed under the name Bensingtonia sp. A222. Its description in RNAcentral is "eukaryotic LSU rRNA". It matches the Rfam family "Eukaryotic large subunit ribosomal RNA", at positions 63 to 648 of the family's 3401-position model. Lineage: Eukaryota; Fungi; Basidiomycota; Agaricostilbomycetes; Agaricostilbales; Kondoaceae. The record is from RNAcentral.
AACUAACAAGGAUUCCCCUAGUAACGGCGAGUGAAGUGGGAAAAGCUCAACUUUGUAAUCUGGCUGUCUUUGGCAGUCCGAGUUGUAGUCUAGAGAAGUGUUAUCCGCGCAGACCCUUAUAGAUUUCGGUUGGAAUGCCAAGUCAAAGAGGGUGAGAAUCCCGUAUUUGAUAAGGUGGUCUUGUGCAUUGUGAUACAUUUUCAAAGAGUCGAGUUGUUUGGGAAUGCAGCUCAAAGUGGGUGGUAAAUUCCAUCUAAAGCUAAAUAUUGGCGAGAGACCGAUAGCGAACAAGUACCGUGAGGGAAAGAUGAAAAGCACUUUGGAAAGAGAAUGAAAUAGUACCUGAAAUUGCUGAAAGGGAAACGAGUGAAGUUAGACUUGCGCAGUUGGUAUUCAGCCUUGGCUUCGGUCUUGGUGCAUUUGCCUUCUAUUGCAGGCCAACAUCAGUUUACUUUGCGGUAAAAGGGUUUGGGGAAUGUGGCUUCUUCGGGAGUGUUAUAGCCCCUUACUGGAUGCCGAAUCGUAGACUGAGGAACGCAGCGCGCUUUUAUGGCAAGGCUUUCAAGCCUCGAGCGCUUAGGAUGUUGGUAGAAUAGCUUUACACGAC